This 253-nucleotide ribosomal RNA is filed under the name uncultured bacterium. RNAcentral describes it as "partial 16S ribosomal RNA". It matches the Rfam family "Bacterial small subunit ribosomal RNA", at positions 524 to 776 of the family's 1533-position model. The record is from RNAcentral.
UACGUAGGGUGCAAGCGUUAAUCGGAAUUACUGGGCGUAAAGCGUACGCAGGCGGCUUUGCAAGACAGGUGUGAAAUCCCCGGGCUUAACCUGGGAACUGCGCUUGUAACUGGCAAGCUAGAGUGUGGCAGAGGGGGGUGGAAUUCCACGUGUAGCAGUGAAAUGCGUAGAGAUGUGGAGGAACACCGAUGGCGAAGGCAGCCCCCUGGGCUAACACUGACGCUCAUGCACGAAAGCGUGGGGAGCAAACAGG